This 253-nucleotide ribosomal RNA is filed under the name uncultured bacterium. Its description in RNAcentral is "partial 16S ribosomal RNA". It matches the Rfam family "Bacterial small subunit ribosomal RNA", at positions 524 to 776 of the family's 1533-position model. The record is from RNAcentral.
UACGUAGGGGGCUAGCGUUGUCCGGAAUCAUUGGGCGUAAAGCGCGUGUAGGCGGCCCGGUAAGUCCGCUGUGAAAGUCCAGGGCUCAACCCUGGGAUGCCGGUGGAUACUGUCGGGCUCGAGUCCGGAAGAGGCGAGUGGAAUUCCUGGUGUAGCGGUGAAAUGCGCAGAUAUCAGGAGGAACACCAAUGGCGAAGGCAGCUCGCUGGGACGUGACUGACGCUGAGGAGCGAAAGCGUGGGGAGCGAACAGG